This is a long non-coding RNA of Callithrix jacchus (white-tufted-ear marmoset), 1859 nucleotides long. The record is from Ensembl. Lineage: Eukaryota; Metazoa; Chordata; Mammalia; Primates; Cebidae.
AUCUGCAUUUUCACUGUGGCCUGUCGUGUGAGGUCAGGUGUGGAAUUUUCCACUUGUGGUAUGUUGGCGCUCAAAAAGUUUUGGAUUUUGGAGCAUUUCGGAUUUCAGAUUUUCAGGUUAGAGAUACUCAACCUAUACUACGUGUUGUGGCCGGAUGCUUUACAUUUACCAUUAGUAGUUCACGGGCUGGGCUCGGUGGCUCACGCCUGUAAUCCCAGCACUUUGGAAGGCCGCGGCAGGCGGAUCACCUGAGGUCAGGAGUUCGAGACCAGCCUGACCAAUAUGGUGAAACCCUGUCUCUACUAAAAAAUACAAAAAUUAGCCGGGCAUAGUGGCACACGCCUGUAAUCCCAGCUACUCUGGAGGCUGAGACAUGAGAAUCACUUGAACCCAGGAGGUGGAGGUUGCAGUGAGCCAAGAUCGCGCCACUGCACUCCAGCCUGGGUAACAGGGUGAGACCUUGUCUCAAAAAAUAAAUUAAAAAAAAAAAAAAAAAAAAGUUCACGGAACCUCAUGAUUAGAUGAGAUGGCUGUGGCAAGCUGGCUGCCCAGGAAGCGGACUCAGAGAGUAAGCCGUGCCCCUGCGUUCUACAAUGGUAGGGAGCGUUAGGAAGAACUGAAGAGCAGACAGACAUAGCGCCAGCAACCCGCCUCCACCCCAAGGGGAUUCAGGGGCUGGAGAUCCCUGCAGUUGCCUGGCAUUCCUGCAGUUGCCAAGGGGUGGGGCUGGGCUUUUGUUCCUCCCGUAUUAUUCAGUCAUUGGCUGUGGGCGCCCAGGAAGAAGCGUGACCUUGGGUGGGGCAGUCUUCUUCAGCCAAUCCUCAGAGAGGACUAACAGCCCUCCCAGCAGAGGGAGAUUAAGUCCUUCACUCCCGGGAGGUGUCUGGGAAGCACAUCCCAGUGUGUACCGCAGCAGCUAUGCAUGUGUCGUUUUACCCAUGAGAAAUCGGAAGUUCAGAAGGGACAGAGCCAGGAUGUGAGCCUAGAUCUAUUAACACCUGUGAAUCCUGUGCUGUUUUCCACCAUUCUUGCUGCCAAUUCGGCACAUUUUCAUGCCUCUCGACUUCUUACGGUGCCCGCCAUAUUCCCAGAUGGAGUCUUGCUCUGUCGCUCAGGCUGGAGUGUGGUGGUGCGAUCUCGGCUCAUUGCAACCUUCACCUCCUAGGUUCAAGUGAUUCUCCUGCCUCAGCCUCCUGAGUAGCUGGGAUUACAGUAGCAUGCCAUCAUACCCAUCUGAUUUUUUAUAUUUUUGGUAGAGAUGGGGUUUCAUCAUGGUGACCAGUCUGGUUUCAAACUCCUGACCUCAAGUGAUCCAUCCGCCUGCCUCAGCCUCCCAAAGUACUGGGAUUACCGGCAUGAACCACCGCACCCAGCAUCUAUCUACAUGUCAUUUUCAGCCAUCUUGACUUGAAUCGCCUGGUUUUAUUUGGUCAAGGAAAGCUGAGGACAAUGGUCAAACUUACUAUGUGGGUCUUUGAGACAAAGUAACCAGCUGAUUGACUGUCUUUUCUGCUCAGCAGGACUUGCUGGCACUGAAAGCCAUGAAGAGUAACUGAACGGAGGCGAAUAAGCUCAUAGCUUGGGAGGAAACAGCAACAUAGCAACGUCUUUAUUUUUGCCUUAUUGAUAUAACCUUGUUCACAAAGAAGACAUGGAAGGGAAGGGACUUGGAGAGUGAGAGAGGAAACAGAAAAGAAAGAUUCUGAGGAAGGGCCAGGAGGAAGCAAAUAGAGCUUCCAGUUCACGCUCCGGGAGUAUUCAAAGUGUCCAUGGGAGAGCUAUGGGUGGGCUUGCUUCACAUGCAGGGGGAGGCCUGGCUAUAGCUACCUUCCUCCCAGCUCUGACCCCAAAGUGAGGUC